This 267-nucleotide signal recognition particle RNA is filed under the name Candidatus Zhuqueibacterota bacterium. RNAcentral describes it as "candidate division KSB1 bacterium (activated sludge metagenome) signal recognition particle sRNA large type". It matches the Rfam family "Bacterial large signal recognition particle RNA". From Rfam's summary of the family: The signal recognition particle (SRP) is a universally conserved ribonucleoprotein involved in the co-translational targeting of proteins to membranes. Archaeal SRP consists of a 7S RNA and homologues of the eukaryotic SRP19 and SRP54 proteins. In most bacteria, the SRP consists of a 4.5S RNA and the Ffh protein (a homologue of the eukaryotic SRP54 protein). The record is from RNAcentral. RNAcentral also lists the same sequence under 1 other name. Lineage: Bacteria; Pseudomonadati.
CUGUGCUAGGUGGGGAGUUAGCGGUGCCCUGAACCUGCAAUCCGCUAUAGCAGGGCCGAAUUCCCACUCGCGAUCGAUUUCUGCUUCUCCGUUGCAGUUUCAAGCGGCGUCGACGAAUCAAGCCCCACGCAAUGGAAAUGUGCCCAACCCCGUCAGGCCCGGAAGGGAGCAGCGGCAAGCAUUCUUUCCAUGUGCCGCGGGUCUCCUUGAUUCCAGCCGAUUGCAGCGGCGCGGACAGGCAGCAAAUGACCAACGGUGGGUGCACAG